This 385-nucleotide RNase P RNA is filed under the name Peribacillus huizhouensis. Its description in RNAcentral is "RNase P class B". It matches the Rfam family "Bacterial RNase P class B". From Rfam's summary of the family: Ribonuclease P (RNase P) is a ubiquitous endoribonuclease, found in archaea, bacteria and eukarya as well as chloroplasts and mitochondria. Lineage: Bacteria; Bacillati; Bacillota; Bacilli; Caryophanales; Bacillaceae. The record is from RNAcentral.
AAUGGUGAGUAGUCGCAGCUCUUGUUAGAAGAGUUGAGGAAAGUCCAGGCUCGCCCGGUGCUGAGAUGCCCGGAGUGUUCGUGCCAUCUGCAAAGGUGGGCAACAAGAAUUUACUUGUCUGACGGCGGAGAAAUCAUGCUAAGUCCAACGUGAUAUGCUGAGAGUAUUCUGAAAGUGCCACAGUGACGGAGUUCGUCUGGAAACGGACGAAAUGGAACGAGGUAAACCCCACGAGCGAGCAACCCGAAAUUAGGUAGGGGCACCAUCCUGCGGGAAAUGAACCAAAAGGAUGGAUCAAUCAUAGAUCGAUAGUUAGAUGACUACACCUGUCGUGCGAGAUUGGCAUUCGUUUAUAGCACGCAGGAACAGAACCUGGCUUACAGCC